ACGCCUACGGGACGCAGCAGUAGGGAAUCUUCCACAAUGGACGAAAGUCUGAUGGAGCAACGCCGCGUGAGUGAAGAAGGGUUUCGGCUCGUAAAGCUCUGUUGGUAGUGAAGAAAGAUAGAGGUAGUAACUGGCCUUUAUUUGACGGUAAUUACUUAGAAAGUCACGGCUAACUACGUGCCAGCAGCCGCGGUAAUACGUAGGUGGCAAGCGUUGUCCGGAUUUAUUGGGCGUAAAGCGAGUGCAGGCGGUUCAAUUAAUCUGAUGUGAAAGCCUUUCGCUCCACCGGAGGA
Molecule: ribosomal RNA, 293 nt
Filed under: uncultured bacterium
Lineage: Bacteria
Description: partial 16S ribosomal RNA
Rfam family: Bacterial small subunit ribosomal RNA
Source: RNAcentral